Molecule: ribosomal RNA, 253 nt
Filed under: uncultured bacterium
Lineage: Bacteria
Description: partial 16S ribosomal RNA
Rfam family: Bacterial small subunit ribosomal RNA
Source: RNAcentral
UACGUAGGGGGCAAGCGUUAUCCGGAAUUACUGGGUGUAAAGGGAGCGUAGACGGUAAUGUAAGUCUGGAGUGAAAGGCGGGGGCCCAACCCCCGGACUGCUCUGGAAACUGGUAGACUUGAGUGCAGGAGAGGAGAGUGGAAUUCCAUGUGUAGCGGUGAAAUGCGUAGAUAUAUGGAGGAACACCGGUGGCGAAAGCGGCUCUCUGGCCUGUAACUGACACUGAGGCUCGAAAGCGUGGGGAGCAAACAGG